UACAGAGGGUGCGUGCGUUAAUCGGAAUCACUGGGCGUAAAGGGCGCGUAGGCGGCCCAUGCCGUCGGCUCGUGAAAGCCCGGGGCUCAACCCCGGAGGUGCGGCCGAGACCCAUGGGCUGGAGGCCGGAAGAGGAGGGUGGAAUACCCAGUGUAGAGGUGAAAUUCGUAGAUAUUGGGUGGAACACCGGUGGCGAAAGCGGCUCUCUGGUCCGGUUCUGACGCUGAGGCGCGAAAGCGUGGGGAGCAAACAGG
This 254-nucleotide ribosomal RNA is filed under the name uncultured bacterium. RNAcentral's name for it is "partial 16S ribosomal RNA". It matches the Rfam family "Bacterial small subunit ribosomal RNA", at positions 524 to 776 of the family's 1533-position model. The record is from RNAcentral.